GGAAGAAGGAAUCAGGAGGCAGAGCACAUGGUUAAAGCAUGAGAUGUGAAACCAGGAAGAACCAGGUCUGAACCUUAGCUCCACCAGUGGUAGCUUCAAACCUUGGUCCUUUCUGAGCCUGCUUCUUCAACCGUAAGGAACUCGGAAACGGGACCCAGAAAGUUGUUUUCUCAAGUGGAUGGAACAACACAAGCAAUCAAUGCAAUUUUACCAGACCAAAAACUGUCUAUAAAGAACAAAAUUAGUGGCCAGGUGCAGUGGCUCAUGUCUGUAAUUCCAGCACUUUGAGAGGAUGAGGUGGGAGGAUUACUUAAGCCCAGGAGUUCAAGACAAGCCUGGGCAACAUAGCAAGAUCCUGUCUUUACCAAAAAAACAAAAACAAAACAAAAAAACACAAAAUUAGUAGUUUCCAAGUUUUUCUUUCGUUAGUAUCAAUUUUUUAUUUGUUCUGUUUGCACCAGGCAUCAAGGCUU
RNAcentral lists this long non-coding RNA (473 nucleotides) under Homo sapiens (human). RNAcentral describes it as "novel transcript, antisense to IWS1". The record is from RNAcentral. Lineage: Eukaryota; Metazoa; Chordata; Mammalia; Primates; Hominidae.